CCUACGGGUGGCAGCAGUGAGGAAUAUUGGUCAAUGGACGCAAGUCUGAACCAGCCAUGCCGCGUGCAGGAAGACGGCUCUAUGAGUUGUAAACUGCUUUUGUACGGGGGUAAACUCAGGUACGCGUAUCUUUCUGAAAGUAUCGUACGAAUAAGGAUCGGCUAACUCCGUGCCAGCAGCCGCGGUAAUACGGAGGAUUCAAGCGUUAUCCGGAUUUAUUGGGUUUAAAGGGUGCGUAGGCGGUCGGAUAAGUUAGCGGUGAAAUACCGAGGCUCAACGUCGGAAUUGCCGCUGAUACUGGUAGGCUAGAGAGUAGUUGCGGUAGGCGGAAUGUAUGGUGUAGCGGUGAAAUGCUUAGAGAUCAUACAGAACACCGAUUGCGAAGGCAGCCUACCAAGCUACGUCUGACGCUGAGGCACGAAAGCGUGGGGAGCAAACAGGAUUAGAUACCCCAGUAGUC
Molecule: ribosomal RNA, 460 nt
Filed under: uncultured bacterium
Lineage: Bacteria
Description: partial 16S ribosomal RNA
Rfam family: Bacterial small subunit ribosomal RNA
Source: RNAcentral